AUCUAUAAGAACGAUAUCAAAACCAGAGACAUGGGCCAGAAGUCCUCCGUUCUCCAGCUGUAGAUGUCUUGCCUGGGAAACCUGGGAAAUAAUGCAAAGAUUGUUUGUAUUAUUUAAUAUGGAGUUCAUGUAUACCCUCUCGGCAUCUAAGGUAAUCUAAAGUCCAUUUUGCUAAAAAAACAAAACAAAACAAACAAACAAACAAACAAACAGCCUAAGAAAGUACAAAGAGCUUUUCAGGAUAACAUACUUGGUCACAUUUUAUCUAUAGUAUAUGGUGGCUGGGUUUCCAGUCCAUAUUUCUUCUCUCUCCAAAGAGGUUUUUGUUUUACGUGGUGCAUCUGUCUCCUGCCACCCUUGGCAGCCUCUUCUCAGCCUUAUGGUUUCAGUGGCCACCCAGAAACGGAUAAGUUAAAGAAAGCGUUUCAAAUCUUAGAACAGUCAUUAUUCUUCAUGGUAGUUAUGUUCUAGAAUAUGACUUUAAGUCAGAAUUAGCCAAUGUUGAACCUUUGUUCCCAAGAAAAACACACAAUGAUAUUCCUCUGAGAUUCAGAUACAAACACUUUCAUGAGUUGAACAGUGCAUAACUUAGGUUAGAAGAGUUUCUGUCUAAAGAUGAGUUGAUUUGUAUUAUUAUGGACUUAUUGCCAUCAAACUUGAAAGCAGCAGCUCUAAAUGAAGCCUCUCCGACUCACAUCACAGCCUUCUUCGUUCCCCACCAUUAGGCUCUUUCCAGCAUGCUCAAGGGCCAUUUGAAACAGGGACAUCACCAACCAAAGAGUACAUAAAUGAGAAAAAAAGUGUGACACUAAUAGACUGCAAAAGGGACAUGUUCACAGUUUGAGAGCUGAUGAGACAUGUUCGUGGUAUGAGCGCUGGGCAAAAAAAAAAAAAAAAGUCAAAGUGUCAUCAGAUUGUCACACCUUGGAUAGGGAUGUCCACACUGGGCAACUCUACUUGUUGUAGAGUGGCUGUAAAGGUGUCAUGAGUAUUGGUCCUUCAGUACUAGAUUUGAGCAAGUAGGGAAAGGCACAGACACAGAAUCCACCAAUAGUGAGGACUUGCAGUGUUCUCAUUCCCCAGUGAGCUCUUGCUCCCUUUCAUUCUUUGUCAUUGACAGCAGCCUGUUAGGUGGCCUCCAGGAACCCCUGUCUCCUGGUCUUCCUUCCAGGAAAAUGGCGUUGGUAAUGACAAUCCCCCUGUUUGAGGUGCUAGACUUAUUUUUUUAAUACAAUGUGGCUUAAGGUGAUAGAAUAUCAGUUUUAAGACUGAGUUACAAAAGCUCCUAAUUCAUCUCCCUCCCCAUCUUUCUCCCCACUCUCCCCUCAUUCCCUCUCCCUGCUCUGUGAGAAACCAGCUAACACCUUUCCAACUUCUCUAUGGAAAAGCUAACAAAAUGGAUUAAGAGAGAUGAUAGGAAAAUGAGACUCUCCACACUAUAGCAGCAACAAACAAUUCUGCCAACAGCCUCUUGAGUGAGCAGAUCUUCCCUCUGGCAAGACUUCAGAUACAUGAAGAUCAGUAGCCCCUGUACUGCGAUCCUGACCUUAGGGCUGAGUUUGAAAUAUGUGUAUGGUGGUGAAGGGUUGAUCAAAGAUGAUGGCUGGAAGAUCUUUCCCAUAUGAACACUUCAGACAUCUCAAGUUUGCUUUCCUAUCAGUCAAACUAACGGGGAUGAAUGCAAAAUGAGAGAGCACUAAGCUCAUGGUCAUCUCCAAACCAGUGCAUCCGGGAUGAAGAUCCACGGAUUCUGAUCCUUGUCCAGAGUACCAUUCCCCAAGCUACUUCCCCAUGCCAGACUUUGAAGUGUGUCAUCUCAGGGUAAAAUGAUGGUUGGCCAUUGUGUCUGUCUUCUCCCCCUCCCAA
Non-coding RNA from Rattus norvegicus (Norway rat), 1866 nucleotides. The record is from RefSeq and is a predicted model, not a curated record. NCBI's taxonomy places the organism in Eukaryota, Metazoa, Chordata, Mammalia, Rodentia, Muridae.